This 467-nucleotide ribosomal RNA is filed under the name uncultured bacterium. Its description in RNAcentral is "partial 16S ribosomal RNA". It matches the Rfam family "Bacterial small subunit ribosomal RNA", at positions 28 to 507 of the family's 1533-position model. The record is from RNAcentral.
GACGAACGCUGGCGGCGUGCUUAACACAUGCAAGUCGAACGGAAAGGCCCUGCUUUUGUGGGGUGCUCGAGUGGCGAACGGGUGAGUAACACGUGAGUAACCUGCCCUUGACUUUGGGAUAACUUCAGGAAACUGGGGCUAAUACCGGAUAGGAGCUCCUGCUGCAUGGUGGGGGCUGGAAAGUUUCGGCGGUUGGGGAUGGACUCGCGGCUUAUCAGCUUGUUGGUGGGGUAGUGGCUUACCAAGGCUUGGAAGGGUAGCCGGCCUGAGAGGGUGACCGGCCACACUGGGACUGAGAUACGGCCCAGACUGCUACGGGCGGGAGGAGUGGGGAAGGUAGCACGAAGGGCGGAAGCCAGAUGGAGCAACGCAGGGUGCGGGAUGGGGCCAUCGGGUUGUGAACCGCUUUCGCCUGUGACGAGACGUGAGUGACGGUAAUGGGUAAAGAAGCACCGGCUAACUACGUG